Non-coding RNA from Mycena filopes, 90 nucleotides. Lineage: Eukaryota; Fungi; Basidiomycota; Agaricomycetes; Agaricales; Mycenaceae. The record is from the annotation of a GenBank genome assembly.
UCGGGCGUGGUGCGUGGUGCACACUCACCUCUGGUACAUCGUGAGGAGGUCGUGAAGUGGGAGUUCCGGGUUCGACUCCCGGCGUCCGAA